This 301-nucleotide ribosomal RNA is filed under the name uncultured bacterium. RNAcentral's name for it is "partial 16S ribosomal RNA". It matches the Rfam family "Bacterial small subunit ribosomal RNA", at positions 509 to 809 of the family's 1533-position model. The record is from RNAcentral.
CAGUCGCCGCGGGAAUACGAAGGGUGCAAGCGUUAAUCGGAAUUACUGGGCGUAAAGCGUGCGUAGGCGGUGAGUUAAGUCCGUUGUGAAAGCCCUGGGCUCAACCUGGGAAUUGCAGUGGAUACUGGGUCACUAGAGUGUGGUAGAGGAUAGUGGAAUUUCCGGUGUAGCAGUGAAAUGCGUAGAGAUCGGAAGGAACAUCUGUGGCGAAGGCGACUAUCUGGGACAACACUGACGCUGAGGCACGAAAGCGUGGGAAGCAAACAGGAUUAGAUACCCCAGUAGUCCCUGUCUCUUAUAA